AGCAGUAGCCGCGGUAAUACGUAGGGUGCGAGCGUUAAUCGGAAUUACUGGGCGUAAAGCGUGCGCAGGCGGUUGUGUAAGACAGGUGUGAAAUCCCCGGGCUUAACCUGGGAACUGCGCUUGUGACUGCACAGCUAGAGUGUGGCAGAGGGGGGUGGAAUUCCACGUGUAGCAGUGAAAUGCGUAGAGAUGUGGAGGAACACCGAUGGCGAAGGCAGCCCCCUGGGCCAAUACUGACGCUCAUGCACGAAAGCGUGGGGAGCGAACAGGAUUAGAUACCCCGGUAGUCCCUGUCUCUUAUAC
Molecule: ribosomal RNA, 303 nt
Filed under: uncultured bacterium
Lineage: Bacteria
Description: partial 16S ribosomal RNA
Rfam family: Bacterial small subunit ribosomal RNA
Source: RNAcentral